Long non-coding RNA from Mus musculus (house mouse), 1450 nucleotides. RefSeq annotates it as predicted gene, 32131. NCBI's taxonomy places the organism in Eukaryota, Metazoa, Chordata, Mammalia, Rodentia, Muridae. The record is from RefSeq and is a predicted model, not a curated record. The transcript is spliced from 2 exons.
GCUUGACUCUAGUAUCAGGCCACAUUCAGCUGUGACCUGGGACGUGCCAUUAACAAAAGCACCUUUGAAAGCAAUUCUGCCGUAGCCUUCGUUCCUUGCUCUCCAGAGAGCUGACACCCCUUCACUGGGGUGCACGAGCAGAAUAGACAGUGAGACCGGGCCCUCCCAGAACAGAAUGAAGCUGACGAGUCUCCUGAGUGAUGGGAUUACACACACCUGAUAUUUAAAUACAGAAGUGCCACAAGGAAAACCACAGGAAUUGGCUGAAUUCCUAUAUAUACUUUGAGUGGUAAGCCUUUUCUUAUUGUUGCUUAAGAUCCAGGAACUGUAAGGCACACUGGUUAUUAAGAAGAACAGUUACACGGCAAAGGACAAUAGCAGGCCGGAUCUAGACAGCUAAGGAUAUGUGUAUCCAGAUUAGUGAUAAAUGCUUAUUUAGUGACAUGGCAGUUGGUGGCCUUAACAAGGGGCAUUUGGGGUGCCUGUGAGAGGUAGAAGUUUGACUACAAGGCCCUGAGGAUGAAUGGGAAGCAGGAAAGUAGAGACAGGGUGCCCUGCCCCCACCAGAGGUCGAUAAGGGAGAAGGAAACGAGGUUAGAUUGGGAGACUGGGCUCUGAGAAGACAGCUCACACAGGUCCAGCUUCUGGUAAACGUGGGGAAACGUGUUCCUACCUUUGCAGAAUUUUGAGAAAUGACAAAUAUCAUCCAGGUAAUUACUAAGAACGAUGUGAACGCUAGCAGCAUUUUCUGACACAUUAUAUUUGAGAACAUGGUCCGUGUCCUAGGAAAGAGCACAAGAGAAGGUACCAGGUGAGAAGGGUGGGAGAGCCUGGGCAUGCACGCUUUCAAGGGAACUUGUGAUUUGCCCUGAGACUUGGCCAUCUCCCAUGAGCUGCCUUCUUUUUCCUUGUCUUAGUGAACAACCCCUUUGUCUUCCUUGUUUACCUUGUCUUACUCAGGCUUUGUUCUGCAGGCUCUCUUCUUCAUCCUCAACCCUGAAAUGACAGUCAGAUGCCUCCCCUCCCCCCAUGUUCUCUCCCUGUAUUCGCUUCCUGUAGAAACACCCCACUUUCACUCACCACAAUCCCAAUGCAAAGCAGAAAAGUUAAUUAGCCUGCCAAUAUCUUUUUUUGGGGGUAGGGGAAGAUAGAAGAUCCUGAUGAGACCCUAAGCAUAGCUUAUGUUAUUAAAAUAAUCUAUAAAAUACCUUUAAACAAAAUGGGUUCUGUAGCGACUCUUGCUUUGCUGAACACCAAGUAUGAAUCUUGAGGUAGAAAUUAUUUUUGGGGGGAGUGGAAUCGAAACUACUCUGCAUAAAAGACAAAUUUAACAAGAUCAUGUGAAGAAAGGGGAAGAGAAGUGGCCAGAGGAGGUGCUGGGAGGGAAGCAGAGAGAAGUAAGACCAUUUACUACUCUGCAUAAAAGACAAAUUUAACAAGAUCAUGAGAA